CACGUGGGAACAUACCCUUUGGUGCGGAACAACAGCUGGAAACGGCUGCUAAUACCGCAUGCGCCCUACGGGGGAAAGAUUUAUCGCCGAAGGAUUGGCCCGCGUCUGAUUAGCUAGUUGGUGAGGUAAUGGCUCACCAAGCGACGAUCAGUAGCUGGUCUGAGAGGAUGAUCAGCCACACUGGACUGAGACACGGCCCAGACUCCUACGGGAGGCAGCAGUGGGGAAUAUUGGACAAUGGGCGCAAGCCUGAUCCAGCCAUGCCGCGUGAGUGAUGAAGGCCCUAGGGUUGUAAAGCUCUUUCAGCGAGGAGGAUAAUGACGUUACUCGCAGAAGAAGCCCCGGCUAACUUCGUGCCAGCAGCCGCGGUAAUACGAAGGGGGCUAGCGUUGUUCGGAAUCACUGGGCGUAAAGCGCACGUAGGCGGACUUUUAAGUCAGGGUGAAAUCCCGGGGCUCAACCUCGGAACUGCCUUUGAUACUGGAAGUCUGGAGUCCGAGAGAGGUGAGUGGAACUCCGAGUGUAGAGGUGAAAUUCGUAGAUAUUCGGAAGAACACCAGUGGCGAAGGCGGUCACUGGCUCGGUACUGACGCUGAGGUGCGAAAGCGUGGGGAGCAAACAGGAUUAGAUACACUGGUAGUCC
This 643-nucleotide ribosomal RNA is filed under the name bacterium MS-AsV-06. Its description in RNAcentral is "bacterial SSU rRNA". It matches the Rfam family "Bacterial small subunit ribosomal RNA", at positions 114 to 796 of the family's 1533-position model. The record is from RNAcentral.